RNAcentral lists this microRNA (22 nucleotides) under Lepisosteus oculatus (spotted gar). Its description in RNAcentral is "Loc-Mir-2188_5p (mature (guide))". The record is from RNAcentral. RNAcentral also lists the same sequence under 19 other names. Lineage: Eukaryota; Metazoa; Chordata; Actinopteri; Semionotiformes; Lepisosteidae.
AAGGUCCAACCUCACAUGUCCU